CUUUAAAAGGUGUUAAACUAUUUGAAACGGGUAGAAUAUUUGUGUGAUAAUUCGGUGUGUUUAGAUAAACAACUUUAAAAAGGUCGAUGGCACAGGAAUGCAAGAGAGACAGAGACCAUAAGUCACCCAUCAAAAUCCAAAAACCGCUGAUCACAACACAGUUACACUACCAAACAGCAAAACAAAUUUGGUGUGUGCAAAAUCCAACCACAACAACGAAACCCCUCCAAAAUCUAAAACUGUGAAUGCAAACAAACAAUCCAAGCGAGUGAAAAAAUGCUACUCCAUUCCGUGCUUUCUCUCUCUCCCUAUCCAUCUUUCGUUUCCAAUUUCGCCCUCGUUGGAGCAACUUCGCUCCUCGUCGCGCCGUCCAGCGCACUGCUGCGGUUUCCGGCGGCGACGAGUUCACCGCGAAGUCCGGGUGAUUUUAGUAGAGCUUUUCAAAUGUUGAGUGCAUAAGUUUAUUUUAGUUUAAGGCAUAUAUUAAAAUUGCCCAGGCUAUAUCAUCUCGUGCUGUUUGUGAAUUCAACAGGUGUGGUUGCUACCUAUGCCUUAUAACUUCAAUACCAGUUGAUAGGGAGUUAUUUAUUUUUCUAUGAACUCAGUUUUUGGGGAGUGAGGCAUAGUACAUGUUGCCUAUAUGGUACCCUGCAAUCUUGUAUCUAUCUGCUUGUGUAUGUUAUAUUUUGAAGUUCGAUAUUGCAUUGGUUUAUUAAUUAUGGAUUCCUAUAUAUGCAGGCUGUUGUUGAUGAGUUGGCAUUAAGUCACUUCCAGUAUGUAUUGUUUUCUUGUAUUUUCACUAUAAUGAUGUUCUAGAUAGCGUA
This is a long non-coding RNA of Vigna radiata var. radiata (mung bean), 824 nucleotides long. RefSeq lists it as uncharacterized. The transcript has 3 exons. The record is from RefSeq and is a predicted model, not a curated record. NCBI's taxonomy places the organism in Eukaryota, Viridiplantae, Streptophyta, Magnoliopsida, Fabales, Fabaceae.